GAUGCUCGAAACCUGGGGGACCGAACGGGAUUAGAUACCCUGGUAGUCCCAGCCGUAAACGAUGGACACUAGUUGCCGGAGGACUCAAUCCCUACGGUGACGUAGCUGACGCAUAAAGUGUCCCGCCUGGGGAGUACGCUCGCAAGGGUGAAACUCAAAGGAAUUGACGGGGGCCCGCACAAGCGGUGGAGCAUGUGCUAUAAUUCGAUGCAACGCGAAGAACCUUACCUGGGUUUGACAUGGGGGUGAAAGUUUCCAGAGAUGGAAGCCUUUCCUUCGGGAGCACCCCACACAGGUGCUUGCAUGGUAGUCGUCAGCUCGUGUCGUGAGAUGUUGGGUUAAGUCCCGCAACGAGCGCAACCCCUGCCCUUAGUUGCCAUCAGGUAAAGCUGGGAACUUUAAGGGGACAGCUUGGUAUAACCAGGAGGAAGGUGGGGAUGACGUCAAAUCAUCAUGGCUCUUACGCCCAGGGGUAGACACGGGAUACAAUGGCAGGUACAGUGGGAUGCCAGCAUGCGAAGCUGAGUAAUCCGUAGAACCUGUCUCAGUCCGACUGGAGUCUGCACUCGACUCCA
This 575-nucleotide ribosomal RNA is filed under the name uncultured organism. Its description in RNAcentral is "bacterial SSU rRNA". It matches the Rfam family "Bacterial small subunit ribosomal RNA", at positions 748 to 1320 of the family's 1533-position model. The record is from RNAcentral.